Molecule: ribosomal RNA, 253 nt
Filed under: uncultured bacterium
Lineage: Bacteria
Description: partial 16S ribosomal RNA
Rfam family: Bacterial small subunit ribosomal RNA
Source: RNAcentral
UACGUAGGUGACAAGCGUUGUCCGGAUUUACUGGGCGUAAAGAGCGCGCAGGCGGUCGAUCAAGUCGAGUGUGAAAGCCCCCGGCUCAACUGGGGAGGGUCAUUCGAUACUGAUCGACUCGAAGGCAGGAGAGGGUAGUGGAAUUCCCGGUGUAGUGGUGAAAUGCGUAGAUAUGACAUAGAACACCAAUUGCGAAGGCAGCUUACUACGGAUGUAUUGACACUGAGGCACGAAAGCGUGGGGAUCAAACAGG